GGAAACCCCGCCCUCUGUCCUACGCUGCCUCCAGCUCAUCCAUUGCCAGGGCUGCAAGGAUCUCUGAUAUUCCACCCCUAAGGGGUCAAGACCCACAGGUAGAGAGAGGCAGGUGCAUCAAGGUCAUCCUCAGCUGUAAAGCAAGUUCAAGCACUAGGGAGGUGAAAGCAGGAGAAUCGCUGAAGCUUGCUGGUCAGCUGGUCUUGAUGAAUCAGCGAACUCCAGGCUCAGACCCUGUGUCCAAAAAAGCGGGGAGAGAUACUGAAGAAGACGCUGGACAUUGCCUUCUCACUGCCACAUGUGCCUGCACACACGUGUACGUUCAUGUUCCACACAC
Molecule: long non-coding RNA, 337 nt
Organism: Psammomys obesus (fat sand rat)
Lineage: Eukaryota; Metazoa; Chordata; Mammalia; Rodentia; Muridae
Exons: 3
Source: RefSeq, a predicted model, not a curated record